CCUACGGUGUGCUGCAGUGGGGAAUAUUGGACAAUGGGCGAAAGCCUGAUCCAGCCAUGCCGCGUGUGUGAAGAAGGCCUUCGGGUUGUAAAGCACUUUCAGUGGGGAAGAAAGCCUUGGGGCUAAUACCCUCGAGGAAGGACAUCACCCACAGAAGAAGCACCGGCUAACUCCGUGCCAGCAGCCGCGGUAAUACGGAGGGUGCGAGCGUUAAUCGGAAUUACUGGGCGUAAAGCGCGCGUAGGCGGUCUGAUAAGCCGGUUGUGAAAGCCCCGGGCUCAACCUGGGAACGGCAUCCGGAACUGUCAGGCUAGAGUGCAGGAGAGGAAGGUAGAAUUCCCGGUGUAGCGGUGAAAUGCGUAGAGAUCGGGAGGAAUACCAGUGGCGAAGGCGGCCUUCUGGACUGACACUGACGCUGAGGUGCGAAAGCGUGGGUAGCAAACAGGAUUAGAUACCCCGUAGUC
RNAcentral lists this ribosomal RNA (464 nucleotides) under Vreelandella stevensii. RNAcentral's name for it is "partial 16S ribosomal RNA". It matches the Rfam family "Bacterial small subunit ribosomal RNA", at positions 338 to 795 of the family's 1533-position model. Lineage: Bacteria; Pseudomonadati; Pseudomonadota; Gammaproteobacteria; Oceanospirillales; Halomonadaceae. The record is from RNAcentral.